RNAcentral lists this microRNA precursor (184 nucleotides) under Oryza nivara. RNAcentral's name for it is "MIR812 microRNA precursor family". It matches the Rfam family "MIR812 microRNA precursor family". The record is from Rfam by way of RNAcentral. Lineage: Eukaryota; Viridiplantae; Streptophyta; Magnoliopsida; Poales; Poaceae.
AAAAAAACAAACUCUAGGUUUUUUGUCCAACUUUAACUGUUCGUUUUAUAUGAAAAUUUUUUAUAAUUUGUAUUUUCAUUGUUGUUAGAUGAUAAAACAUGAUUAAUAUUUUAUACGUGACUUGUCUUUUUAAUUCUUUUAUAAUUUUUUCAAAUAAGACGGUCCGACAUUGGACACAGAAACC